GAUGAGGUCAAAGCAACUGUCAAAAAGCGCAGGAACCAUAAAUCAUCAGCACUGCCUCCUCAGGGAAUUGAUUAAAGGAGUGGGCCCAGUUAAGGAAACAAUGUGCAAACUCCACCAGAAAGAUAUGGGAAAGAACUAGGCCACAGGCAACGAUUUACGAUCAAAAGGGCCAGAGAUACCACACAUGUGUGCAGGUUACAGAACAAUUAACCCUGUCUGCUCUUCAACUUUGGUAAAAGACUGAAGAACCUCUCCAAAGAAGAGUGAGAGACCUUCAGGCUGAGUAAAAUAAGCACACAGCCUGUGCCAAUGUGUGGGACAGAGACAAAGACGCCCAGGAAAAGUACUGCCUGAUGGACCAAUAAGAUGCGAUACUGGCCUCUCCCAUGGCUACCAAACUGGAAACUUCACAGGAAAUUGUCCUUUCGGGAUGCCUGAAGAAACAGGAGUAUAGAACUCUUGGCACAGUUGGAGUGGUUCUACACUGAAACCAACACAAAGCAGAUUCUACAUACAUUUCUCAUGAUUUCAACCACAGUCAUUGGAUAGGAGAAAAAAUUUGAACCAGCGAUCGAAAGAAAAAGAGGAAGAAUAAAGAACACCAAGAGAUGUUGACGAACACUGACUGGAUGAUCUUUGGAACAAUGAGCAACUAUUGUUUAAAGCCUCCUUGCUGGCCAGCUGCAUUCCUGGAGGUUUCAUCACGUGACCAACCACCUUCCUACCAUUGGUCAAUCCUCCAGAAGCACUGCCUUCCCGCGAUCAUUUGGAAAGGUGAGAGACUCUGUGUUGUCCAAUUGGAUUCAUCGGUACCAUGAGUGGAAGUGAUUUGUUUUCAAGUCACCUCCAAUUCUUUCAGAAUUCAUCAUUGAAAACAUGAAGAAA
Long non-coding RNA from Stegostoma tigrinum, 885 nucleotides. RefSeq lists it as uncharacterized. The transcript is spliced from 4 exons. NCBI's taxonomy places the organism in Eukaryota, Metazoa, Chordata, Chondrichthyes, Orectolobiformes, Stegostomatidae. The record is from RefSeq and is a predicted model, not a curated record.